GCAAAAACAAUGAAAAGGAAAAGUAAAUAAUGUAUUGCUUUUAGAGAGGGGGAUUCAUAGGCUGUAAUAUUCCCUAAGUUAAUAUUUAUUGAAAACCACCUUUGAGUUGUAUACUGAAAUUUAAUAGUAGGUAUUUCCGCAGAUCUGCGUUAUGGAUAUUGAGAGACAGUAAUGGCUUUUAAGUAAUGGAUGAAUAUCCUAGGCUGUAAUGGGGCUUAGUUAUUUUAGUGAUAACUAAAAAUUGACACUGUUAAUUGGGUGGAAACGCGAUAAAACUCGUCCCAGUA
Molecule: non-coding RNA, 287 nt
Filed under: Clostridium autoethanogenum
Lineage: Bacteria; Bacillati; Bacillota; Clostridia; Eubacteriales; Clostridiaceae
Description: T-box sequence
Rfam family: T-box leader
About the family: Uncharged tRNA acts as the effector for transcription antitermination of genes in the T-box leader family. T-boxes are found upstream of many aminoacyl-tRNA synthetase genes and some amino acid biosynthetic genes usually in Gram-positive bacteria. The anticodon of a specific tRNA base pairs to a specifier sequence within the T-box motif, and the NCCA acceptor tail of the tRNA base pairs to a conserved bulge in the T-box antiterminator hairpin.
Source: RNAcentral